Molecule: ribosomal RNA, 677 nt
Filed under: Enterococcus faecalis
Lineage: Bacteria; Bacillati; Bacillota; Bacilli; Lactobacillales; Enterococcaceae
Description: partial 23S ribosomal RNA
Rfam family: Bacterial large subunit ribosomal RNA
Source: RNAcentral
GGUUAAGUGAAUAAGGGCGCACGGUGGAUGCCUUGGCACUAGGAGCCGAUGAAGGACGGGACUAACACCGAUAUGCUUUGGGGAGCUGUAAGUAAGCUAUGAUCCAGAGAUUUCCGAAUGGGGGAACCCAAUAUCUUUUAUAGGAUAUUACUUUUCAGUGAAUACAUAGCUGAUUAGAGGUAGACGCAGAGAACUGAAACAUCUUAGUACCUGCAGGAAGAGAAAGAAAAUUCGAUUCCCUGAGUAGCGGCGAGCGAAACGGGAAGAGCCCAAACCAACAAGCUUGCUUGUUGGGGUUGUAGGACUCCAAUAUGGUAGUCUGUUAGUAUAGUUGAAGGAUUUGGAAAAUUCCGCUAAAGAGGGUGAAAGCCCCGUAGACGAAAUGCUGACAACACCUAGGAGGAUCCUGAGUACGGCGGAACACGAGAAAUUCCGUCGGAAUCCGCGGGGACCAUCCCGCAAGGCUAAAUACUCCCUAGUGACCGAUAGUGAACCAGUACCGUGAGGGAAAGGUGAAAAGCACCCCGGAAGGGGAGUGAAAUAGAUCCUGAAACCGUGUGCCUACAACAAGUCAAAGCUCGUUAAUGAGUGAUGGCGUGCCUUUUGUAGAAUGAACCGGCGAGUUACGAUUGCAUGCGAGGUUAAGUCGAAGAGACGGAGCCGCAGCGAAAGCGAGU